This 554-nucleotide ribosomal RNA is filed under the name Aspergillus terreus. Its description in RNAcentral is "eukaryotic LSU rRNA". The stretch from base 163 to 316 matches the Rfam family "5.8S ribosomal RNA". Lineage: Eukaryota; Fungi; Ascomycota; Eurotiomycetes; Eurotiales; Aspergillaceae. The record is from RNAcentral.
CCUCCCACCCGUGACUAUUGUACCUUGUUGCUUCGGCGGGCCCGCCAGCGUUGCUGGCCGCCGGGGGGCGACUCGCCCCCGGGCCCGUGCCCGCCGGAGACCCCAACAUGAACCCUGUUCUGAAAGCUUGCAGUCUGAGUGUGAUUCUUUGCAAUCAGUUAAAACUUUCAACAAUGGAUCUCUUGGUUCCGGCAUCGAUGAAGAACGCAGCGAAAUGCGAUAACUAAUGUGAAUUGCAGAAUUCAGUGAAUCAUCGAGUCUUUGAACGCACAUUGCGCCCCCUGGUAUUCCGGGGGGCAUGCCUGUCCGAGCGUCAUUGCUGCCCUCAAGCCCGGCUUGUGUGUUGGGCCCUCGUCCCCCGGCUCCCGGGGGACGGGCCCGAAAGGCAGCGGCGGCACCGCGUCCGGUCCUCGAGCGUAUGGGGCUUCGUCUUCCGCUCCGUAGGCCCGGCCGGCGCCCGCCGACGCAUUUAUUUGCAACUUGUUUUUUUCCAGGUUGACCUCGGAUCAGGUAGGGAUACCCGCUGAACUUAAGCAUAUCAAUAAGCGGAGGAA